CCUACGGGGGGCAGCAGUAGGGAAUCUUUCACAAUGGGCGAAAGCCUGAUGGAGCAACGCCGCGUGCAGGAUGAAGGCCUUCGGGUUGUAAACUGCUUUUAUAAGCGAGAAAUAUGAUGGUAACUUAUGAAUAAGGAUCGGCUAACUACGUGCCAGCAGCCGCGGUCAUACGUAGGAUCCGAGCAUUAUCCGGAGUGACUGGGUGUAAAGAGUUGCGUAGGUGGGAUAAUAAGUAGCUAGUGAAAUCUGGUGGCUCAACCAUUCAGACUAUUAGCUAAACUGUUAAGCUCGAGACCGUUAGGGGUAACUGGAAGUUCUAGUGUAGGAGUGAAAUCCGUAGAUAUUAGAAGGAACACCAAUAGCGUAGGCAGGUUGCUAGGACGGUUCUGACACUAAGGCACGAAAGCGUAGGGAGCAAACGGGAUUAGAUACCCGGGUAGUC
Molecule: ribosomal RNA, 442 nt
Filed under: uncultured bacterium
Lineage: Bacteria
Description: partial 16S ribosomal RNA
Rfam family: Bacterial small subunit ribosomal RNA
Source: RNAcentral